RNAcentral lists this ribosomal RNA (488 nucleotides) under uncultured Propionibacterium sp. RNAcentral describes it as "bacterial SSU rRNA". It matches the Rfam family "Bacterial small subunit ribosomal RNA", at positions 1 to 507 of the family's 1533-position model. Lineage: Bacteria; Bacillati; Actinomycetota; Actinomycetes; Propionibacteriales; Propionibacteriaceae. The record is from RNAcentral.
AGUAGUUGUAUCCUGCGCAGGACGAACGCUGGCGGCGUGCUUAACACAUGCAAGUCGACGGAAAGGCCCUGCUUUUGUGGGGUGCUCGAGUGGCGAACGGGUGAGUAGCACGUGAGUAACCUGCCCUUGACUUUGGGAUAACUUCAGGGAAACUGGGGCUAAUACCGGAUAGGAGCUCCUGCUGCAUGGUGGGGGUUGGAAAGUUUCGGCGGUUGGGGAUGGACUCGCGGCUUAUCAGCUUGUUGGUGGGGUAGUGGCUUACCAAGGCUUUGACGGGUAGCCGGCCUGAGAGGGUGACCGGCCACAUUGGGACUGAGAUACGGCCCAGACUCCUACGGGAGGCAGCAGUGGGGAAUAUUGCACAAUGGGCGGAAGCCUGAUGCAGAAACGCCGCGUGCGGGAUGACGGCCUUCGGGUUGUAAACCGCUUUCGCCUGUGACGAAGCGUGAGUGACGGUAAUGGGUAAAGAAGCACCGGCUAACUACGUG